This 403-nucleotide ribosomal RNA is filed under the name uncultured bacterium. RNAcentral describes it as "bacterial SSU rRNA". It matches the Rfam family "Bacterial small subunit ribosomal RNA", at positions 355 to 775 of the family's 1533-position model. The record is from RNAcentral.
UUGGGAAUCUUGGACAAUGGGGGAAACCCUGAUCCAGCCAUGCCGCGUGAGUGAUGAAGGCCUUCGGGUUGUAAAGCUCUUUUGCCCGGGAAGAUAAUGACGGUACCGGGAGAAUAAGCUCCGGCUAACUUCGUGCCAGCAGCCGCGGUAAUACGAAGGGGGCUAGCGUUGUUCGGAAUUACUGGGCGUAAAGCGUGCGCAGGCGGCUUCCCAAGUCAGUGGUGAAAGCCCGGAGCUCAACUCCGGAAAUGCCAUUGAAACUGUGAAGCUUGAGAACGAGAGAGGUGAGUGGAAUUCCCAGUGUAGAGGUGAAAUUCGUAGAUAUUGGGAAGAACACCAGUGGCGAAGGCGGCUCACUGGCUCGUAACUGACGCUCAUGCACGACAGCGUGGGGAUCAAACAG